This 71-nucleotide transfer RNA is filed under the name bovine gut metagenome. It matches the Rfam family "tRNA". From Rfam's summary of the family: Transfer RNA (tRNA) molecules are approximately 80 nucleotides in length. The record is from RNAcentral.
GCGAUGUAGCUCAGUUGGCUAGAGCACAUGGUUCAUACCCAUGGUGUCGGGGGUUCAAUUCCCUCCGUCGC